RNAcentral lists this ribosomal RNA (465 nucleotides) under Vreelandella stevensii. RNAcentral describes it as "partial 16S ribosomal RNA". It matches the Rfam family "Bacterial small subunit ribosomal RNA", at positions 338 to 795 of the family's 1533-position model. Lineage: Bacteria; Pseudomonadati; Pseudomonadota; Gammaproteobacteria; Oceanospirillales; Halomonadaceae. The record is from RNAcentral.
CCUACGGGUGGCAGCAGUGGGGAAUAUUGGACAAUGGGCGAAAGCCUGAUCCAGCCAUGCCGCGUGUGUGAAGAAGGCCUUCGGGUUGUAAAGCACUUUCAGUGGGGAAGAAAGCCUUGGGGCUAAUACCCUCGAGGAAGGACAUCACCCACAGAAGAAGCACCGGCUAACUCCGUGCCAGCAGCCGCGGUAAUACGGAGGGUGCGAGCGUUAAUCGGAAUUACUGGGCGUAAAGCGCGCGUAGGCGGUCUGAUAAGCCGGUUGUGAAAGCCCCGGGCUCAACCUGGGAACGGCAUCCGGAACUGUCAGGCUAGAGUGCAGGAGAGGAAGGUAGAAUUCCAGGUGUAGCGGUGAAAUGCGUAGAGAUCGGGAGGAAUACCAGUGGCGAAGGCGGUCUUCUGGACUGACACUGACGCUGAGGUGCGAAAGCGUGGGUAGCAAACAGGAUUAGAUACCCGAGUAGUC